GACGGAGGAUGCAAGUGUUAUCCGGAAUCACUGGGCGUAAAGCGUCUGUAGGUUGUUUAAAAAGUCUGCAGUUAAAGGUUGAAGCUUAACUUCAAAAAUGCCGUAGAAACUUUUAAACUAGAGGAUGGUAGGGGUAGAGGGAAUUCCUGGUGUAGCGGUGAAAUGCGCAGAUAUCAGGAGGAACACCGGUGGCGAAGGCGGGUCUCUGGGCAACAACUGACGCUGAGGAGCGAAAGCGUGGGGAGCGAACAGG
This 253-nucleotide ribosomal RNA is filed under the name uncultured bacterium. RNAcentral describes it as "partial 16S ribosomal RNA". It matches the Rfam family "Bacterial small subunit ribosomal RNA", at positions 524 to 776 of the family's 1533-position model. The record is from RNAcentral.